RNAcentral lists this ribosomal RNA (789 nucleotides) under uncultured Methanomicrobiales archaeon. RNAcentral describes it as "bacterial SSU rRNA". It matches the Rfam family "Archaeal small subunit ribosomal RNA", at positions 85 to 879 of the family's 1478-position model. The record is from RNAcentral. Lineage: Archaea; Methanobacteriati; Methanobacteriota; Methanomicrobia; Methanomicrobiales.
ACGGCUCAGUAACACGUGGACAACCUACCCUAAGGAGGGGGAUAACCCCGGGAAACUGGGGAUAAUACCCCAUAGACUAGAGAAGCUGGAAUGCUCUCAAGUCCAAAGGUCCGCCGCCUUAGGAUGGGUCUGCGGUCGAUUAGGUUGUUGUUGGGGUAACGGCCCAACAAGCCCGUGAUCGAUACGGGCUGUGAGAGCAAGAGCCCGGAGAUGGAUUCUGAGACACGAAUCCAGGCCCUACGGGGCGCAGCAGGCGCGAAAACUUUACAAUGCGGGAAACCGUGAUAAGGGAACCCCGAGUGCCCGUAAAUUCGGGCUGUCCAUCAGCGUAAAUAACUGGUGAAGAAAGGGCCGGGCAAGACCGGUGCCAGCCGCCGCGGUAAUACCGGCGGCUCGAGUGGUGGCCACUAUUAUUGGGCUUAAAGCGUCCGUAGCUUGGUUGUUAAGUCUCUUGGGAAAUCUACCGGCUCAACCGGUAGGCGUUCAGGAGAUACUGGCAAUCUAGGGACCGGGAGAGGUGAGAGGUACUCCAGGGGUAGGAGUGAAAUCCUGUAAUCCUUGGGGGACCACCUGUGGCGAAGGCGUCUCACUAGAACGGCUCCGACAGUGAGGGACGAAAGCUGGGGGAGCAAACCGGAUUAAAUACCCGGGUAGUCCCAGCUGUAAACGAUGCGCGUUAGGUGUAUCGGUGACCACGAGUCACCGAGGUGCCGAAGGGAAACCGUGAAACGUGCCGCCUGGGAAGUACGGUCGCAAGGCUGAAACUUAAAGGAAUUGGCGGGGGAGCAC